UGUCUUGUAAAAUGGAAUGAUGGGAAUUUAAACCUCUUCCAGAGUAUCAAUUGGAGGGCAAGUCUGGUGCCAGCAGCCGCGGUAAUUCCAGCUCCAAUAGCGUAUAUUAAAUUUGUUGCAGUUAAAAAGCUCGUAGUUGAAUUUCUGCUGCAUUACAUUUCUCUUGUUUGAGUUUGUUAUUGUGGCUUAUUUCGGAUUGAUUUUUAUCAUUCCGGAUGAUUACUUUGAGAAAAUUAGAGUGCUCAAAGCAGGCUUUUGCCUUGAAUAGUUUAGCAUGGAAUAAUAGAGUAGGACUUUGGUUCUAUUUUGUUGGUUUUAGGUACCAAAGUAAUGGUUAAUAGGAACAGUUGGGGGCAUUCGUAUUUAACUGUCAGAGGUGAAAUUCUUAGAUUUGUUAAAGACGAACUACUGCGAAAGCAUUUGCCAAGGAUGUUUUCAUUAAUCAAGAACGAAAGUUAGGGGAUCGAAGACGAUCAGAUACCGUCGUAGUCCUACCCAUAAACUAA
Molecule: ribosomal RNA, 506 nt
Filed under: Theileria buffeli
Lineage: Eukaryota; Apicomplexa; Aconoidasida; Piroplasmida; Theileriidae
Description: SSU rRNA
Rfam family: Eukaryotic small subunit ribosomal RNA
Source: RNAcentral